AAAAUUCAAGCUUUGUUAAAAAAGCAUUACAUUCCUUGCAAACAAAAUCAGACGUUCAAAAUACUUUCAGCUCCUCUGGACAUCAAAAGGAGGAAGGAUCAACAAGUCUCUGGCUUUGUCCUUAUUUAACAAUAUUAAGAAAAACAACAUAGUCAUGAUAAAUAACAGCCUUUACAUCGUUUUGUUUCUCUGGAGACUGAUCCUGAUCUUACCUAUCUGAUUUCAUGCACAUGAAUAUUCCCUUUGAUUAAGGUACAUCAGCUCCUGGAAAGCUCAUGUUAAUCAAUGUAGCUGAUGCAAGAACUCCAAGCUUACUGCCUGGUAGUGUCCCAAGGAACAGGAGACAAGGCAGAAAACUUCCUCUGAACUCUGUGUGUGUUGGGACCCAGCUCUUAAGUGUCCUGCUUUAUCCCACUUCAGCAUCGCCAUCACCUCUUGUUUGAGAUGUGGAUUUUCAUUCUGCCCUUGCUGCGUAAAACCAGUGAAUCAUUUCAGGCAGAAGUUAAGGGUCUAACCCAUGACUUAGGCACCGAAGGACCAAGCCUCCCAACAUCCUCUUCCUGGCCACUCUGUGUGGUGACAUCUUGGAUAUCAGGAAAAAGUUUUCCACCCAGAAGGUGGUUGAGCACCGUUAACAGGCUCCCCAGGGAAGGGGUCGCAGCACCAAGUCUGUCUGAGUUCAAGAAGUGUCUGGACAACAAUCUCAGGCCUAUGGUGGGAUUCCUGGCGUGUCCUGUAUUUGGGCAGGAGUUGAACUCAAUGAUCAUGAUGGCUCCCUUCCAACUCAGCAUAUUCUAUGAUUCUAAACAAAAUGAGUCUCAGCUAAACUCGUUGCACACAUCCAUUACGUGGGAAAAGCAUCAGGAUUUCUGUAAAUCCAGCGUGGGAAUUUAUUCAUCGCAGCCUCCAGCAACAAUGAAUUACCCUGAUGACUGGUGUAAUUUGGAAGCAUACACAGCCAUAAUGAGAAAGUACCGUGGUUUCCUUUAAAGCAAUAUAGUGGUUAUUGCUGAUAGUUACUGCCUUUGUGAAGUAUUAACGCGUGGUUGUAGUACAGUUGUGCAGUGAAAUUACAGGGGCCUGCAGAAUGUUACUUAGCAACACUUGCUAACGGUGAGAUGGUAAUGAAGGAAUGGAGGAAAAGAAAUACAGAGAGUAUUUGAAUCAUAAAAUAAACUGUGGUGUGAUGUGAGCAAGCUGUUCUGAAGAUAAUGAUGUUGUCUAUUUCUCUUCUUGCCAUGUGGAUAGGGUAGAAGAACUUAAGACCUGAUUUGAAGCAACAUAUACGAAAUAUCUAAGUGAUAGAAACAACACUACAUUAUGUUCAUUUUUUAUCAUUGCUGCCUGGGAGAAGUCUCAGAAUUGUUGGUCUUUUGAAGAUGCUCUGUCAUUCCAAACCCAUCCUGAGUCACUG
This is a long non-coding RNA of Pipra filicauda (Wire-tailed manakin), 1414 nucleotides long. RefSeq lists it as uncharacterized. The transcript is spliced from 5 exons. The record is from RefSeq and is a predicted model, not a curated record. NCBI's taxonomy places the organism in Eukaryota, Metazoa, Chordata, Aves, Passeriformes, Pipridae.